RNAcentral lists this ribosomal RNA (254 nucleotides) under uncultured bacterium. RNAcentral describes it as "partial 16S ribosomal RNA". It matches the Rfam family "Bacterial small subunit ribosomal RNA", at positions 524 to 776 of the family's 1533-position model. The record is from RNAcentral.
UACGUAGGGUGCAAGCGUUGUCCGGAAUUAUUGGGCGUAAAGAGCUUGUAGGCGGUUUGUCGCGUCUGCUGUGAAAUUUCGGGGCUCAACCCCGAACUUGCAGUGGGUACGGGCAGACUAGAGUGUGGUAGGGGAGACUGGAAUUCCUGGUGUAGCGGUGAAAUGCGCAGAUAUCAGGAGGAACACCGAUGGCGAAGGCAGGUCUCUGGGCCGACUACUGACGCUGAGAAGCGAAAGCAUGGGGAGCGAACAGG